GGACUGGGUUAAACUGGGAGAGCACUGGGAGGGACUGGGGGCGUGGUGGCGGGGAGGAUGCUGGGGACAUACUGGGGACACUGGGGGUGACACUGGGGGUGACCAGGGGUACCAGGGACACUGGGGUCAUACUGGUGUCACUGGUGCCAUACUGGGGUCACACUGGUGACACUGUUGGGGACACUGGUGUCACUGGUGCCGUACUGGGGUCACACUGGUGACACUGCUGGGGACACUGGUGCCACACUGGUGUCACUGGUGUCACACUGGUGUCACUGGUGCCAUACUGGGGACACUGGUGUCCCACUGGUGUCACUGGUGUCACACUUGGGGACACUGGUGUCACACUGGUGUCACUGGUGUCACACUGGUGUCACACUGGUGACACUGUUGGGGACACUGGUGUCACACUGGUGUCACACUGGUGACACUGUUGGGGACACUGGUGCCACACUGGUGUCACUGGUGCCAUACUGGGGACACUGGUGUCCCACUGGUGUCACUGGUGUCACACUGGUGUCACUGGUGCCAUACUGGUGUCACUGGUGGCACUGGGGGUCUCAGCCGUGCCCCCUCCCCAGAUCAUCUGCCUGGACCUGGCCGAGGAGAUGGCGCUGCCCAAACUGGAGUCCUUCAAUGGGUCAGGGCUGCAUUUGGGCUGUUCCAGGGGAUUUGGGGGUCCCUGACGGGGUUUUUGAGGUGGUUUUGGGGUGUCCCUGGUGUCCCUGAGGGGUUUUUAGGGUCCCUGAGGUGUUUCUGGUGUGCCUGACGGGUUUUGGGGUGUUUCUGGGGUGUUUCUGGUGUCCCUGAGGUGUUUUUGGGGUGUCCCUGGUAUCCCUGACAGUUUCUGGGGUGUUUUUGGGGUGUUUUCAGGGUGUCCCUGUUGUCCCUGACAGUUUUCGGGGUGUUUCUGGGGUGUCUCGCUAUCCCUGACGGGUUUCGGGGUGUUUUUGGGGUGUUUUUGGGGUGUCCCUGGGGUGUCCCGGUAUCCCUGACGGUUUCGGGGUGUUUUUUGGGUGUUUUUUGGGUGUUUUUUGGGUGUUUUCGGGGUGUCCCGGUAUCCCUGACGGUUUCUGGGGUGUUUCCGGGGUGUUUUCGGGGUGUCCCUGACUGGUUUUCGGGGUGUUUUUUGGGUGUUUUCGGGGUGUCCCGGUGUCCCUGACAGUUUCGGGGUGUUUCCGGGGUGUUUCCGGGGUGUUUCCGGGGUGUUUUUGGGUGUUUUCGGGGUGUCCCUGACAGUUUCGGGGUGUUUCCGGGGUGUUUUUGGGGUGUCCCUGACAGUUUCGGGGUGUUUUUGGGUGUUUUUGGGGUGUUUUCGGGGCGUCCCGGUAUCCCUGACAGUUUCGGGGUGUUUUCGGGGUGUUUUCGGGGUGUCCCUGACAGUUUCAGGGUGUUUUCGGGGUGUUUUCGGGGCGUCCCGGUAUCCCUGACAGUUUCGGGGUGUUUUCGGGUGUUUUCGGGGUGUCCCUGACAGUUUCGGGGUGUUUUUGGGUGUUUUCAGGGUGUUUCUGGGGUGUCCCGGUAUCCCUGACAGUUUCGGGGUGUUUUUGGGUGUUUUCGGGGUGUCCCGGUGUCCCUGACUGGUUUCGGGGUGUUUCCGGGGUGUUUUCGGGGUGUUUUUGGGGUGUUUUCGGGUGUUUUCAGGGUGUCCCUGACAGUUUCGGGGUGUCCCUGACUGGUUUCCGGGGUGUUUUCGGGGUGUCCCGGUGUCCCUGACUGGUUUCCGGGG
Molecule: long non-coding RNA, 1729 nt
Organism: Cyanistes caeruleus (blue tit)
Lineage: Eukaryota; Metazoa; Chordata; Aves; Passeriformes; Paridae
Source: Ensembl